CCUACGGGAGGCAGCAGUAGGGAAUAUUGGUCAAUGGGGGCAACCCUGAACCAGCCAUGCCGCGUGCAGGAAUAAGGCCCUAUGGGUCGUAAACUGCUUUUGAACGGGAAGAAACCUAUUUACGUGUAGAUAGUUGACGGUACCGUUAGAAUAAGGAUCGGCUAACUUCGUGCCAGCAGCCGCGGUAAUACGAAGGAUCCAAGCGUUGUCCGGAUUUACUGGGUUUAAAGGGUGCGUAGGCGGACUCAUAAGUCAGUGGUGAAAGCCUUCAGCUUAACUGAAGAACUGCCAUUGAAACUGUGGGUCUCGAGUUCGGUUGAGGUCAUUGGAAUGUAACAUGUAGCGGUGAAAUGCAUAGAUAUGUUACAGAACACCGAUUGCGAAGGCAGAUGACUAAACCGAAACUGACGCUGAGGCACGAAAGCGUGGGGAUCAAACAGGAUUAGAUACCCUGGUAGUCCACGCCCUAAACCGAUGAAUACUCGACCUUAGCGAUAUACAGUUAGGGUCCAAGCGAAAGCGUUAAGUAUUCCUACCUCGGAAGGUACGUUCGUCGAAGAAUAGAAACGUACGAAGUAGAAGUUAGUACGGCGUGAGACGUCGCCGAACGGACGACCGACCGAGGGGAGGUAGGG
Molecule: ribosomal RNA, 635 nt
Filed under: uncultured bacterium
Lineage: Bacteria
Description: bacterial SSU rRNA
Rfam family: Bacterial small subunit ribosomal RNA (bases 1-537)
Source: RNAcentral